UACGGAGGGGGCGAGCGUUAUUCGGAAUUAUUGGGCGUAAAGGGCGCGUAGGCGGCUGUACAAGUCAAAGGUGAAAUCCCUCGGCUCAACUGAGGAACUGCCUUUGAAACUGUACGGCUUGAGGCCGGGAGGGGGUAGCGGAAUUCCCAGUGUAGCGGUGAAAUGCGUAGAUACUGGGAGGAACACCAGUGGCGAAGGCGGCUACCUGGACCGGUUCUGACGCUGAGGCGCGUAAGCGUGGGUAGCAAGCAGG
Molecule: ribosomal RNA, 253 nt
Filed under: uncultured bacterium
Lineage: Bacteria
Description: partial 16S ribosomal RNA
Rfam family: Bacterial small subunit ribosomal RNA
Source: RNAcentral